CCUACGGGUGGCAGCAGUGGGGAAUAUUGGACAAUGGGGGCAACCCUGAUCCAGCCAUGCCGCGUGUGUGAAGAAGGCCCUCGGGUUGUAAAGCACUUUCAGUGAGGAAGAACGCCUGGUGGUUAAUACCCAUCAGGAAAGACAUCACUCACAGAAGAAGCACCGGCUAACUCCGCGCCAGCAGCCGCGGUAAUACGGAGGGUGCGAGCGUUAAUCGGAAUUACUGGGCGUAAAGCGCGCGUAGGUGGCUUGAUAAGCCGGUUGUGAAAGCCCCGGGCUCAACCUGGGAACGGCAUCCGGAACUGUCAAGCUAGAGUGCAGGAGAGGAAGGUAGAAUUCCCGGUGUAGCGGUGAAAUGCGUAGAGAUCGGGAGGAAUACCAGUGGCGAAGGCGGCCUUCUGGACUGACACUGACACUGAGGUGCGAAAGCGUGGGUAGCAAACAGGAUUAGAUACCCUAGUAGUC
This 465-nucleotide ribosomal RNA is filed under the name Vreelandella stevensii. RNAcentral describes it as "partial 16S ribosomal RNA". It matches the Rfam family "Bacterial small subunit ribosomal RNA", at positions 338 to 795 of the family's 1533-position model. The record is from RNAcentral. Lineage: Bacteria; Pseudomonadati; Pseudomonadota; Gammaproteobacteria; Oceanospirillales; Halomonadaceae.